GAAGUGAAAACCAGAGUACCAGAGAGAGAAAGAAACGAGGAGUUGUUGUUGAUUCAGUAGAGAGAGAGAUAGAGAGAGAGAGAGAGAGAGAGAAAAAUCGAAGAAGAACGACCUAGCUCGCAGAAAAAGACAGCACGAAUUCGAACUCCAAAGCACUCUCUCUCUAUCUCUCUCUCUCUCUAUAUAUGAGAGAAAUUAGAGAAAGAAAACAAGGCAAAGAAGCUGCAGGCCAAGAAGAAUAAGAUGAAAGUAACUCCCUUUCUUCUUCCUCCAAGCCCACUCUCUGUAUAGUGUUGGAAUGUGUCGGAGAGCUUUGUGUUUGGGCAAUUAUGUGUUUAGGUGGAUGGUAGUGACACGAAGAAAAAGAAGAAGGGUGCAAGUGGAUUCCAAGUUGGGAAGAGAAAGGUGAAGACCAAGUUGACAGCAUUGGCAAAAGCAAAGGCUGCCCAAGCGAUGGAGCUUGACAAAUGAGGUUCUACUUUGAGUCACUGAGGCAUUAUCGAACUUUAGGAUAUGUAACUUUGAAGGAAAAGAAUCCAAGAUUGAGAUACAAUCAUAUGGCUGGAAUCUCUUUACCAUGGAAAGGGGGGAGCGUUGUCGUUCUCAUUCUAUGUAAGGAUUUAUUUAUUUAUUCUGUAAAUCUAAUUUAUGAUGGUUAUAUUAUUAGUAAACUAAAUAUGAAAAUGAUCUUGAAGUUUCAUUUUCGAUAUACAUUAAUGGUAUAUCCAAAUAGUAAAUUGGGAAUAUUUGGUUCCCCAACAUUCCUAGGCAUCUCAUACAAAGGUAUGAAAUGUUGAUUCCUGAUAUUACUAAUGCAAUUUGGACCUUUAUUCAUUUA
Camellia sinensis is the source of this 838-nucleotide non-coding RNA. Lineage: Eukaryota; Viridiplantae; Streptophyta; Magnoliopsida; Ericales; Theaceae. The record is from RefSeq and is a predicted model, not a curated record.